AGGGAAGAAGUCACCUUCGCGAGCAUGUCACCCGCAUGAUUGCAAAGCUCCCCGACGGAGCCCACCACACCGCUCAGCUCAGUCACCUGAUGUUUUCCCCGAAGGGUAGCCAAGGAGCCAAGGGAAUCUGCGUAAAAAUCACGUCAGUCAAAGCAGUCACUGUAACAUCCCAAAUUUUUCAAAUUCGGAUGUUCGCACCUUUACAUUUCUUAUGCAUAUCACCUUGAUCAUAUCUUAAAAUAUUGGUGUUUAUUAUGAUGCAUUAUUGAAAGUGUUUGAAAUGGUGUUUUGGAACGUGAUAGGUUGUUAGAAAUUGAUUCGAGAUUUUUCUAGAGUCUAAAAAUGCAUUCUAGGAUUUUAUUUGGAUUUAUUUAAAGCUUAGAAACAUUAAAACAAUUUUUACAAAUUUAUUUUCGAGUGAGAAUAAUUUUACUGGACUCCAAAUGAAAUAUAUUAUUUUACAGAAUUUUUGGGAAUUUUUCUGAAGCCAUUUGAUAUUUUAAAUGAUUUAAAUGGAAUUUCAGGUGAAUUAUAGAUCCUGAAAAGUAUUUUUUUUAAUCUUUUUCUUUUCUUCUUUUUCUCUGAAAAUACGCUUUCUCCGUAGGAAAACGUAUUCUCGGGGGAAUACGCUUUCAGUAUGCGGAAAGCGUAUUCUCGGGAGAAUACGCUUUCAGUCUCUCUCUCUCUCUCUGACAGGUGGGGCCCACCUGUCAUCUUCUCCCUCAUCUCCGCCGUCUCCAACCGCCGUCGGCGCCGCGCCCGGCCGCGCCCUCGCUCGCCUGCCCGCCUGCC
RNAcentral lists this long non-coding RNA (792 nucleotides) under Brachypodium distachyon (stiff brome). RNAcentral's name for it is "long non-coding RNA (BDIS_LNC002027)". The record is from RNAcentral. Lineage: Eukaryota; Viridiplantae; Streptophyta; Magnoliopsida; Poales; Poaceae.